RNAcentral lists this transfer RNA (46 nucleotides) under Coryphaena hippurus (common dolphinfish). RNAcentral describes it as "partial tRNA-Gln". The record is from RNAcentral. Lineage: Eukaryota; Metazoa; Chordata; Actinopteri; Carangiformes; Coryphaenidae.
AAGAGUUUUGAUCUCUUCAGGUAGGGUUCGAAUCCCUUCUUUCUAA